UAAUCGGGAGAGACUACUAAUCAUGUAGCGCCGAAGGUGACAGCAGAAACUCUCAGGCAAAAGGACCGGUUGC
Molecule: non-coding RNA, 73 nt
Filed under: uncultured Lachnospira sp.
Lineage: Bacteria; Bacillati; Bacillota; Clostridia; Lachnospirales; Lachnospiraceae
Description: Glycine riboswitch
Rfam family: Glycine riboswitch aptamer
About the family: This family represents the bacterial glycine riboswitch. Glycine riboswitches usually consist of two metabolite-binding aptamers domains with similar structures in tandem. The aptamers cooperatively bind glycine to regulate the expression of downstream genes.
Source: RNAcentral